AUUGAACGCUGGCGGCAUGCCUUACACAUGCAAGUCGAACGGCAGCACGGGUGCUUGCACCUGGUGGCGAGUGGCGCACGGGUGAGUAAUACAUCGGAACAUGUCCUGUAGUGGGGGGUAGCCCGACGAAAGCCGGAUUAAUACCGCAUACGAACUACGGAUGAAAGCGGGGGCCCUUCGGGCCUCGCGCGAUAGGGUUGGCCGAUGGCUGAUUAGCUAGUUGGUGGGGUAAAGGCCUACCAAGGCGACGAUCAGUAGCUGGUCUGAGAGGACGACCAGCCACACUGGGACUGAGACACGGCCCAGACUCCUACGGGAGGCAGCAGUGGGGAAUUUUGGACAAUGGGCGAAAGCCUGAUCCAGCAAUGCCGCGUGUGUGAAGAAGGCCUUCGGGUUGUAAAGCACUUUUGUCCGGAAAGAAAUCCUUGGCCCUAAUACGGUCGGGGGAUGACGGUACCGGAAGAAUAAGCACCGGCUAACUACGUG
RNAcentral lists this ribosomal RNA (486 nucleotides) under uncultured bacterium. RNAcentral's name for it is "partial 16S ribosomal RNA". It matches the Rfam family "Bacterial small subunit ribosomal RNA", at positions 30 to 507 of the family's 1533-position model. The record is from RNAcentral.